GGGCAACCCAACCCAUCUCCCACUCGUCCAAAACACGCACCACCAUUACAGCUCUUUGCUUCACUUGAAAGUAUGAGUAUGAAUAUGUAUACGGGCUUCACCAGGCUUUGUAAGGGUCUUGCGGUUGUGCUUGUUGGCGGUCACAUUGUUGUUCAGAUUCUUCCUUCUGCUCUUUCUUAUCUUGCUCUCAUACCUGCCAAGACUAUUCCAUUUGCAUGGAAUCUUAUAACAGCUGGUUACACUGAACAAACAGUGUAUGGGGCAAUCAUCAGCACUAUUGGACUUCUUUUCUUGGGGAAGCUGCUUGAGCCCAUCUGGGGUUCUAGGGAAUUCUUAAAGUUCAUCUUUAUUGUCAACUUUUUGACAUCUGUCUUUGUUUUCAUCACAGCCAUAUCAUUGUACUACGUAACAAGACUGGAAAUUUAUCUCUAUAUGCCCAUUUCCGGCUUCCAAGGAGUUCUUUCUGGUUUCUUAGUUGGUGUCAAGCAAAUCAUGCCCGACCAGGAGUUGUCUAUUUUGAAACUGAAAGCAAAGUGGUUGCCUUCCCUUGCAUUGUUGUUCUCAAUUGCUAUAAGCUUUUUUACAGCAGAUUCAGUAUCUUACCUUCCAACAAUAGUAUUUGGGACAUAUUUAGGCUGGAUUUACCUAAGAUAUUGGCAGAAGAAACCAGAGACAAAACUAAAGGGUGACCCAAGUGAUGAAUUUUCCUUCUCUUCUUUCUUCCCUGAAUUUUUGAGACCAGUAAUUGAUCCAAUUGCAACAAUAUUUGAACGGAUGCUUUGUGGUAGAAGAUCUGAGACUUCUAAUGAGGAAAGGGGCUAUACUCUAGGUGGUUCCACAUUGCCUGGUUCUGAUCCCAUUGAAGCAUCGAGGAGGAGGGAAAGAGGUGCGAGAGCACUUGAAGAAAGAUUGGCAGCUGAGCUUUUGGCUUCUGGAAAGAAGGGUGAAGAAUCAGAACGAGGUGUGAAUGAUAAUGUGUAGAAGUUGGUCUAUAAUAUAUCAUAUCUAACGCGUUUUCUUGUGCGAUAGAAACUAGAAGAUUGUGCACAUUUUUGGCUGUGUACUCUUUUGGAUUCUCUUCGGUAAUGUACAUUUUUCUCG
RNAcentral lists this unclassified non-coding RNA (1101 nucleotides) under Hevea brasiliensis (rubber tree). Lineage: Eukaryota; Viridiplantae; Streptophyta; Magnoliopsida; Malpighiales; Euphorbiaceae. The record is from RNAcentral.